GAUGAACGCUGACAGCAUGCUUAACACAUGCAAGUCGACUGGAAAGUCGGCUUGGGUGGUGCACGGGUGAGUAACGCGUAAGGAACAUGCAUCACAGUUAGGGAUAACUUUGGGAAACGAAUGCUAAUACCUGACAUUAUCUUUUUAGGGCUUCCUAAAUUCAUGAAAGGUAGAUGCACUGUGAGAGGGUUUUGCGUUCAAUUAGCUAGUUGGAGAGGUAACGGCUGAUAAUGGCGAUGAUGGGUAGCCGGCCUGAGAGGGUGACAGGCCCCAAGGGGCCUGGGGACGGGCCAGUACCCAAACGGGAGCAAGAAGUGGGGAAUUUUCGCAAAGGGACCAAACGUGUGAUACAGAAAUUCUGUGUGGAAGAUGAGGUUUUUCGGAAUGUAAAGUUGUUUAAGUUGGGAAGAACAAAAUGACGGUACCUACAGAAGAAGUGACGGCUAACUACGUG
RNAcentral lists this ribosomal RNA (454 nucleotides) under uncultured bacterium. RNAcentral's name for it is "partial 16S ribosomal RNA". It matches the Rfam family "Bacterial small subunit ribosomal RNA", at positions 28 to 507 of the family's 1533-position model. The record is from RNAcentral.